This 458-nucleotide ribosomal RNA is filed under the name uncultured bacterium. Its description in RNAcentral is "partial 16S ribosomal RNA". It matches the Rfam family "Bacterial small subunit ribosomal RNA", at positions 338 to 795 of the family's 1533-position model. The record is from RNAcentral.
CCUACGGGCGGCAGCAGUGAGGAAUAGUGGGCAAUGGGCGAGAGCCUGAACCAGCCAAGUCGCGUGAGGGAGUACUGCCCUAUGGGGUGUAAACCUCUAUUGUCGGGGAGAAAAAGCCGGACGUGUCCGGCUGUGAGAGUACCCGAAGAAAAAGCAUCGGCCAACUCCGUUCCAGCAGCCGCGGGAAGACGGAGGAUGCGAGCGUUAUCCGGAUUUAUUGGGUUGAAAGGGUGCGCAGGCGGAUUUUUAAGUCAGCGGUCAAAGCGUGGGGCUCAACCCCAUCCAGCCGUUGAAACUGGGGAUCUAGAGUGUGCGAGCGGUAUGCGGAAUGCGUGUUGUAGCGGUGUAAUGCCUAGAUAUCACGCAGAACCCCGAUUGCGAAGGCAGCAUACCGGUGCACAACUGACGCUCAGGCACGAAAGCGUGGGUAUCGAACAGGAUUAGAUACCCUAGUAGUC